GACGAACGCUGGCGGCGUGCUUAACACAUGCAAGUCGAACGGAAAGGCCCUGCUUUUGUGGGGUGCUCGAGUGGCGAACGGGUGAGUAACACGUGAGUAACCUUCCCUUUACUUUGUGAUAACUUCAGGAAACUGGGGCUACUACCGGAUAGGAGCUCCUGCUGCAUGGUGGGGGUUGGAAAGUUUCGGCGGUUGGGGAUGGACUCGCGGCUUAUGAGCUUGUUGGUGAGGUAGUGGCUUACCAAGGCUUUGACGGGUAGCCGGCCUGGGAGGGGGACCGGCCACAUUGGGACUAAGGGACGGACCAGACGCCUACGGGAGACAGCGGUGGGGAAUAUUACACAAUGGGCGGAAGCCUGAUGAAGAAACGCCGCGUGCGGGAUGAAGGCCUUCGGGUUGUAAACCGCUUUAGCCUGUGACGAAGCGGGAGUGACGGUAAUGGGUAAAGAAGCACCGGCUAACUACGUG
Molecule: ribosomal RNA, 468 nt
Filed under: uncultured bacterium
Lineage: Bacteria
Description: partial 16S ribosomal RNA
Rfam family: Bacterial small subunit ribosomal RNA
Source: RNAcentral